This 207-nucleotide ribosomal RNA is filed under the name uncultured bacterium. Its description in RNAcentral is "partial 16S ribosomal RNA". It matches the Rfam family "Bacterial small subunit ribosomal RNA", at positions 568 to 774 of the family's 1533-position model. RNAcentral also lists the same sequence under 1 other name. The record is from RNAcentral.
UGCGUAGGUGGUUGUUUAAGUCUGUCGUGAAAGCCCUGGGCUCAACCUGGGAACUGCGAUGGAAACUGGGCGACUAGAGUGUGGUAGAGGGUAGCGGAAUUCCUGGUGUAGCAGUGAAAUGCGUAGAUAUCAGGAGGAACAUCCAUGGCGAAGGCAGCUACCUGGGCCAACACUGACACUGAGGCACGAAAGCGUGGGGAGCAAACA